UGGGGAAUAUUGGACAAUGGGCGAAAGCCUGAUCAAGCCAUGCCGCGUGUGUGAAGAAGGUCUUCGGAUUGUAAAGCACUUUAAGUUGGGAGGAAGGGCAUUAACCUAAUACGUUAGUGUUUUGACGUUACCGACAGAAUAAGCACCGGCUAACUCUGUGCCAGCAGCCGCGGUAAUACAGAGGGUGCAAGCGUUAAUCGGAAUUACUGGGCGUAAAGCGCGCGUAGGUGGUUUGUUAAGUUGGAUGUGAAAUCCCCGGGCUCAACCUGGGAACUGCAUUCAAAACUGACUGACUAGAGUAUGGUAGAGGGUGGUGGAAUUUCCUGUGUAGCGGUGAAAUGCGUAGAUAUAGGAAGGAACACCAGUGGCGAAGGCGACCACCUGGACUAAUACUGACACUGAGGUGCGAAAGCGUGGGGAGCAAACA
Molecule: ribosomal RNA, 427 nt
Filed under: uncultured bacterium
Lineage: Bacteria
Description: partial 16S ribosomal RNA
Rfam family: Bacterial small subunit ribosomal RNA
Source: RNAcentral